UAGUCCACGCCCUAAACGAUGCUUACUAGUUGUUAGCGAUAUACAGUUAGCGACAAAGAGAAAUCAUUAAGUAAGCCACCUGGGGAGUACGUUCGCAAGAAUGAAACUCAAAGGAAUUGACGGGGGUCCGCACAAGCGGAGGAGCAUGUGGUUUAAUUCGAUGAUACGCGAGGAACCUUACCUGGGCUAGAAUGCGAUUGACCUCUUCAGAGAUGAAGAUUUCUUCGGACAUGAAGCAAGGUGCUGCAUGGCUGUCGUCAGCUCGUGCCGUGAGGUGUUGGGUUAAGUCCCGCAACGAGCGCAACCCUUACUGUUAGUUGCCAGCAUGUAAAGAUGGGGACUCUAACAGGACUGCCUACGCAAGUAGAGAGGAAGGUGGGGACGACGUCAAGUCAUCAUGGCCCUUACGCCCAGGGCUACACACGUGCUACAAUGGGAGGUACAGAGGGUAGCUACCUGGUAACAGGAUGCCAAUCUCAAAAAGUCUCUCUCAGUUCGG
Molecule: ribosomal RNA, 499 nt
Filed under: uncultured bacterium
Lineage: Bacteria
Description: bacterial SSU rRNA
Rfam family: Bacterial small subunit ribosomal RNA
Source: RNAcentral